UGCACCUAAAAGCGUUUUCUUGCCAGCUCGUUAAAUGCUCUCGAAAAUCGUAGAUGUGUGCGAGAGCAAUCCUCACAAUUGCAAGUGAAAUUAGUUUUUAAAAAAUAACUUUGUUCCAUUUUCAUUGUGAACAUCC
Drosophila rhopaloa is the source of this 136-nucleotide small nucleolar RNA. RefSeq annotates it as small nucleolar RNA psi28S-3316. Lineage: Eukaryota; Metazoa; Arthropoda; Insecta; Diptera; Drosophilidae. The transcript has a single exon. The record is from RefSeq and is a predicted model, not a curated record.